GACGAACGCUGGCGGCGUGCUUAACACAUGCCAGUCGAACGGAAAGGCCCUGCUUUUGUGGGGUGCUCGAGUGGCGAACGGGUGAGUAACACGUGAGUAACCUGCCCUUGACUUUGGGAUAACUUCAGGAAACUGGGGCUAAUACCGGAUAGGAGCUCCUGCUGCGUGGUGGGGGUUGGAAAGUUUCGGCGGUUGGGGAUGGACUCGCGGCUUAUCAGCUUGUUGGUGGGGUAGUGGCUUACCAAGGCUUUGACGGGUAGCCGGCCUGAGAGGGUGACCGGCCACAUUGGGACUGAGAUACGGCCCAGACUCCUACGGGAGGCAGCAGUGGGGAAUAUUGCACAAUGGGCGGAAGCCUGAUGCAGCAACGCCGCGUGCGGGAUGACGGCCUUCGGGUUGUAAACCGCUUUCGCCUGUGACGAAGCGUGAGUGACGGUAAUGGGUAAAGAAGCACCGGCUAACUACGUG
This 468-nucleotide ribosomal RNA is filed under the name uncultured bacterium. Its description in RNAcentral is "partial 16S ribosomal RNA". It matches the Rfam family "Bacterial small subunit ribosomal RNA", at positions 28 to 507 of the family's 1533-position model. The record is from RNAcentral.